This 432-nucleotide ribosomal RNA is filed under the name uncultured bacterium. Its description in RNAcentral is "partial 16S ribosomal RNA". It matches the Rfam family "Bacterial small subunit ribosomal RNA", at positions 29 to 507 of the family's 1533-position model. The record is from RNAcentral.
ACGAACGCUGGCGGCAUGCCUCACACAUGCCAGUCGAACGAGACCUUCGGGUCUAGUGGCGCACGGGUGCGUAACGCGUGGGAACCUGCCCUUAGGUUCGGAAUAACUCCCCGAAGGGGGUGCUAAUGCCGGAUAAUGUCUUCGGACCAAAGAUUUAUCGCCUUUGGAUGGGCCCGCGUUGGAUUAGCUAGUUGGUAGGGUAAAAGCCAACCAAGGCGACGAUCCAUAGCUGGUCUGAGAGGAUGAUCAGCCACACUGGGACUGAGACACGGCCCAGACUCCUACGGGAGGCAGCAGUGGGGAAUAUUGGACAAUGGGCGAAAGCCUGAUCCAGCAAUGCCGCGUGAGUGAUGAAGGCCUUAGGGUUGUAAAGCUCUUUUACCCGGGAUGAUAAUGACAGUACCGGGAGAAUAAGCUCCGGCUAACUCCGUG